UACAAUAAAAUUACAUAAUUUAAAUUUAAACAUAAACAAACUAAAUGACGUCUAUUUUGCUUAAUGGUGCAUGCUAAAGAAACACAGCGUCAGAGCUGUCAAGAUGCUGAACGGAAUUUAUUUAAAUAUGCUCCUUCAAUUGGUUUUACAAAAAAUAGUGCACGGCGCUAAAUGUAAAUUUUGAAAUUGCGCGCCAUUCACCGGGGCCAGACCUGUCAAAAAUCGCGCCAAAGGAAUAUUGAAGCUACCACUAGAUGCGAGAUUAGUUGAAUUGCCCUGGGCACUCUCACUUAAAAACCUAACAGAGAACGACUGAUUUCAUAGUCGCCAGAGGCGCUACAGACGAUAAAGAGUUACAGAUUAAAUCAUGAAAUAACCCACUGUAGGAAAAUAUUCUGUGGGUGAAUGCGAUAACGCAAGUCAAAUGUCAAAUAAAUCUUCCCCAUUGUUGCUUGUGGGUUUGUCAUGGACAAGAUGUCUGUCAAUGUUGGUUAUUCGCUAUCAUCCAAAGAAUAAGCCUAUGCCGAUUUUAUUCAUUUCUGACGAUGUAAUCUGUGAUAAGUUGUAUGAUUUCCUGCCUCAUGAUUGUGAUAUGUUUCCCCAUGUUCUCCAAUACGUAAUUUGUGAAUAUUUUGUUGGAUUAUCUUAAAUCAAUAAUCAAUCAAUAAUCUGCGAAGAUGGUUAUUGGUGACCUGAAGGCUGUUAGAAAAUGCACGGCUUCCUAUCACAAAAGGCGUAUGUUUUAAAGUUAUUCUUAAAAAUGCUCCAAAGAUUUUUUUACCUGUAAAAAGUAUUUAUAUGAACAAUAAACAACAAGUAAUAUAUAUAUGUAUUUUUGUGUAGUUGUGUCAUUUAUCCCUAUUAUC
Molecule: long non-coding RNA, 866 nt
Organism: Dendroctonus ponderosae (mountain pine beetle)
Lineage: Eukaryota; Metazoa; Arthropoda; Insecta; Coleoptera; Curculionidae
Exons: 2
Source: RefSeq, a predicted model, not a curated record